RNAcentral lists this ribosomal RNA (509 nucleotides) under uncultured bacterium. Its description in RNAcentral is "bacterial SSU rRNA". It matches the Rfam family "Bacterial small subunit ribosomal RNA", at positions 791 to 1297 of the family's 1533-position model. The record is from RNAcentral.
UAGUCCACGCCGUAAACGAUGAGAACUAGGUGUAGCGGGUAUUGACCCCUGCUGUGCCGGAGUUAACGCAUUAAGUUCUCCGCCUGGGGAGUACGGCCGCAAGGCUAAAACUCAAAGGAAUUGACGGGGACCCGCACAAGCGGUGGAGCAUGUGGUUUAAUUCGACGCAACGCGAAGAACCUUACCUGGAUUUGACAUCCUCUGACCACCCUGGAAACAGGGUUUUUUCAACUUGUUGGAACAGAGUGACAGGUGCUGCAUGGCUGUCGUCAGCUCGUGUCGUGAGAUGUUGGGUUAAGUCCUGCAACGAGCGCAACCCUUGUUUUAGUUGCCAUUAUUAAGUUGGGCACUCUAGAGAUACUGCCUCGGUUAACGGGGAGGAAGGUGGGGAUGACGUCAAGUCCUCAUGGCCUUUAUAUCCAGGGCUACACACGUGCUACAAUGGACUGUACAAAGGGUCGCGACACCGCGAGGUGAAGCUAAUCUCAAAAAGCAGUUCUCAGUUCGGA